GAUAAUCUGUCCUCACCCGCCUUUGAAUUGGAUGAUAAUCGCGAAAUGCACAAUUCUGCACCUGAGUAGUUUCAAGCUUCCCCAUAUUCCCCUCCAAGAGUUCAUCAAAUCCCGCCCAGGAAUCCUCUGAAAUCUCAGUUAAAUUUCUUCCUCUCGUCCAAAACGCUAGCUUGGUAACCUUCUUUUGUCUUAAAACCACAAAACCCUCAAACUCUUCAUGCAUGAACACUAACACCACUACUAACAACCCCUUAAAUUUCCCUUUCCAUUUGGAAUAUGGGGCGAAUCAAUUCCAUUACAACUGACCUCCUCCACAAGUGUUUGACGAUUACUACUGGCCUCCGCCACAAGUGUUUGAUGAUUAUUGUACUACCAGGCAUUUUGGAGCUGAUUUUCAGUUUUUCAGGAAACCCGGAAUUUCUGAACCAAUGCUUAAUUCAAGUUCAAGAAUGUGUCAUAUUGUCUUCAACUUCCGGGUCAAACGAAGCAGGGCCCAUCAAUGCCAGGCCACAGCCCUGCCGGCUAUAUACAAGUGGCUACUGCAACUCCGGAGCCAACUGUGUAUUUAGUCAUGAUGAGGCUGGUGAAGAGAAUUACAGAACUCCGAUAUGGGUGUACUUGUGGGUGGCCACCAGAUUAGGACCAACUGUUGGUUCUCAGUUUAUGGAAAAGAAUGUCCACAUGGCAAUAGAUGCAACUUUUAUCAUCUUAGUGUUAGAGAUGAUAAGGGAGGUUUUCGCGUGCCUAAAUUUAGGCAGACUACUGCAAUUACUGUUUUGAGUACAAAAACUGAGGGUUACAGAAAACAGUUUGGUCAAUUGGAACGCAAGAGGUUUAUGGAUUUGAAACUCUGAUGGUGCUAGUCAAAAGAAACAAAAGGCAGAGCCUUUGAAGACAAGGCUCCGUGACAAGUGGGAAUAAGAUGGCAGCUGCCCGGAUGGUGAAAAAUGCUAAUAUGCUCAUGGGUUUACGGGUAUUUUGUAGUUAGAUUCGUUUGGUUUACUUGAUGUUGCUUCUGGUCGUAAUUAGUGAAUUAGUUCCUUAUUCAUUUGACAUUUACGCAGUUACACUACCAAUGGUUGGGUAAACAAUGUUGGCGGCUGGUACGAAGUUUCAUGGUUGGACCAUAUUGUUUUCCGUGAAUCUUAGUUAUACUGAAACUUCAAAAGUUUGGUUUUUCCCCCCAGUGGAAUCUGGAGAAUCCUUACUGGCAGAAAAUGUUGCUGGUGAUGUAGAGGAUGCAGGUAUGAAGGAGAUCAGAUCCGUUGACAAGUAGCAGAAGCAUAAGUGGCUUACGAAGUGGAACAACGUUGAGAAGAUUAGUCAUGUCUAUGCUGAUUGGAUUGAAAGUAUGCCACAUGUUCCUCCAGGCAGCCUGUGAUGCCGAAUUUUGAAAACGUGAAUGAUGUACCAAAAUUCUUUGUAAUUAUUGUUCAGACUGAAGGAUAGUGUAAUCUCUUUAGCAGAGAUUUGUUAUUAGGUCAAUUUCAGACUGAAGGAUAGCGUAAUCUCUUUAGCAGAGAUUUGUUAUUAGGUGAAUUUGACGCAGUUAUUUUGCUAAACUUUUCAGGUGUAGCAAAGAAAAGCGUCUCGAAGAUCACUUCUUUUCUCUCUUUUGUUUGGAAAAGUGCCGUGUAUUCCCUUUGAUUGUAUUGUGCAGUACGUAGAGAAGAAAGAAAUAGACAGCCAAGAGUAGCAUGACUUUCAGCCUUUCAGGUCCCCAUUUACAAAAUUAGUUUCUUGCAGAUUAUUGUACUAUUGUAAGAAGUGAAACAUAUGAUUUUUGUCAAUUUUCCCUUGACGGGGUAUAAUUGCAGUCUGAAAAAGGUUUACCAAUCUGGAACUUAACUGCAACUAUGAUUUUCCCGUGAUUUUCCUGGGUGUUUGGGGCGGGUGAAAAAAUUGCAUAUUCAACAGGAACGUAACUGCAACUAUGAUUUACAGUUGUAGUGAUUGUGUUUCAUAGCAGGAACACCUGUUAAUGAUAGUACAAGCAUAAGCUGAAAAUCUCGGUUCCGAGGGGCCUCCUC
Molecule: non-coding RNA, 2030 nt
Organism: Coffea arabica (coffee)
Lineage: Eukaryota; Viridiplantae; Streptophyta; Magnoliopsida; Gentianales; Rubiaceae
Source: RefSeq, a predicted model, not a curated record